This is a long non-coding RNA of Balaenoptera acutorostrata (minke whale), 790 nucleotides long. RefSeq lists it as uncharacterized. The transcript has 5 exons. Lineage: Eukaryota; Metazoa; Chordata; Mammalia; Artiodactyla; Balaenopteridae. The record is from RefSeq and is a predicted model, not a curated record.
GGCGCGCGGCGCUCCCUGCCCCCCAACCCCUCGGCCUUCCGCGCGUACGCGGCCCGGGGGCCCCUCGUGCCUCGGCGCUCGCAACCCCGCGCGUGAGGCGUCGGACGGCUGAGCGCGCCGGAACGGCGGGCGUGGCGGGGCGUGGCGGAGGCGCUCGCCUGUCCAUCUCUGCUGGCGAGGGCGGUUCGGCGUUCUUUCCCUCCUCACAGUGUUAGUCGGACCAGGUUGGCACUGCGGCGUCUGCACGAGGAGAAGGGAAGCAUAACAGUUUCAGAAAAAUCACUGUCUUUGGAGAGAGCAGAGAAUGAGAUGGGAAAAGUCUUCAAAUAGCUGCCUAAAAUGUAUCUCAUGAGGAAUUCAGCCAUCUCUGAAGGACUUCUUUGGGAAGAGAGUGUGAGUCAAGACCUCCAGAAGCCAGGAAGAAUGUGUAGAGAAAAGGACCCAGGACCAAGCCCUGAUGCGCUGAGCCCUGGAACACGCCACCAAAUGAAGGCUCUUAAAACAUUGGACAAAGGCCAAGGAACAGUGCUUUUUUAAUCAAUCUUUUUAAAUUAAUGAAUCCCCUAUCGUAACCCUAAUCCUGAAUUUCAAUGCAGCUACGUCGCACAGUCAAUUUUAAUCAUCCAGGGUUCGGUGCAGGGAAAGGGGAUAAAGAUAGAAGAAGAGAGGCACAAAGCUAACCGAUGUUGGAAUAUAAAACGGAGAUCAUUUCCACCCCGAGAUGCGCACCUGGCACCAGCCUGCCUCUCAGCUCCACUGUCCUGUCAGCGGUGGAGGACCUAGCCCAGGA